RNAcentral lists this ribosomal RNA (459 nucleotides) under uncultured bacterium. RNAcentral's name for it is "partial 16S ribosomal RNA". It matches the Rfam family "Bacterial small subunit ribosomal RNA", at positions 338 to 795 of the family's 1533-position model. The record is from RNAcentral.
CCUACGGGAGGCAGCAGUGAGGAAUAUUGGUCAAUGGGCGCGAGCCUGAACCAGCCAAGUAGCGUGAAGGAUGACUGCCCUACGGGUUGUAAACUUCUUUUAUAAAGGAAUAAAGUGAGGCACGUGUGCCUUUUUGUAUGUACUUUAUGAAUAAGGAUCGGCUAACUCCGUGCCAGCAGCCGCGGUAAUACGGAGGAUGCGAGCGUUAUCCGGCUUCAUUGGGUUUAAGGGGUGCGCAGGCGGGCCUUUAAGCCGGCGGUGAAAUCGCGGGGCUCAACCCCGCCGAGCCGUGGGAACUGGGGGCCUUGAGUGCGGCGGAGGCAUGCGGAAUGCGCGGUGUAGCGGUGAAAUGCAUAGAUAUCACGCAGAACCCCGAUUGCGAAGGCAGCAUGCCGGCUUCCGACUGACGCUGAAGCACGAAAGCGUGGGGAUCGAACAGGAUUAGAUACCCUAGUAGUC